Brachypodium distachyon (stiff brome) is the source of this 707-nucleotide long non-coding RNA. RefSeq lists it as uncharacterized. The record is from RefSeq and is a predicted model, not a curated record. The transcript is spliced from 2 exons. Lineage: Eukaryota; Viridiplantae; Streptophyta; Magnoliopsida; Poales; Poaceae.
UCGAGUCGAUCUCGAAUCGAGAACCCACCCAGCAUUCCCAGGCCACCGCCGCCACCAGCCCACCACCAUGGCCAAGCUGCCAGCCGUCCUCCACACCCCGCGUCCCUCUUUUCCUCCGGCCAGCGCCCGUCGCCGCCGGUCGGACCUCGUCCGACCCGCCGACUCUCCUCGCCCCAACCUCCAUCCCCCGCGCCGACCUCUCCUCCUGCAGCUCCAAGGCCGCCGCCGUCGCCUGCACUAACUGCAGCUCCGUGGGCUCUUCGUCGUCGUCCAUCACCCGCGACCUCGCCUCCAUCCCCAAGGUUAUUUGGUACAAACUGACUCAAAUGUUGAUGCGCUGGAGAAUACUUUGUCCCAGCAGAAACAAAAGUUUGCUGGACAGAUGCUUGUCACAACUGGAGACCAGAACGAGAGAGGUUCCCCUGAUCCUGGCAUGCUGAAAAAGAGAAGAGUGCUUCUGGCUGGACCGGGAACUCCUCAACCUCCUGAGCUGCGGCGUGCGCUCAUUGCCUGAUCGUUUGCUACCUGUGUGUACGUAGCACGUGCACUGGGGACAAAGAUGACUGUAACUUUUAUCAAGUUUUUACUGUUGUGUACUCUUUCCAUUAGGGAUGGUGAUGGUUCAUGCUGAAUGCUGAUGUAAACUGUGGUUUCAUAUUCAAUGAAAAUGGAACGGGGCGGGGCCUGUGGCUCUGAAAAAUUUGUCA